This 253-nucleotide long non-coding RNA is filed under the name Mustela putorius furo (domestic ferret). RNAcentral's name for it is "lncRNA (ENSMPUG00000031605.1)". The record is from RNAcentral. Lineage: Eukaryota; Metazoa; Chordata; Mammalia; Carnivora; Mustelidae.
CUGUGUUGACUCUGACUCCAUGGUCUCCACACUCCAGUACAAUCCUACCCAUGAAAAGUUCAGGAAAACCUUCAAAGUCAAGGGCAAGGAUCCAGCCAACAUGCAAUGGGCAACUUCAGCAUCAUGGGGACAUCCAAUACCGGGGUUGACAUCAUCCUGCCACCCAAAACUGGAUAACUGUGACAAGGUGGACAUGAAGCUGCUCAAGCACCUUCUCAGCAUCCACUGGCAUGCAGUGCCACCCUUGAGCUGA